Molecule: ribosomal RNA, 164 nt
Filed under: uncultured bacterium
Lineage: Bacteria
Description: partial 16S ribosomal RNA
Rfam family: Bacterial small subunit ribosomal RNA
Source: RNAcentral
UAGGGAAUCUUCCACAAUGGGCGCAAGCCUGAUGGAGCAACACCGCGUGAGUGAAGAAGGGUUUCGGCUCGUAAAGCUCUGUUGUUAAAGAAGAACACGUAUGAGAGUAACUGUUCAUACAUUGACGGUAUUUAACCAGAAAGUCACGGCUAACUACGUGCCAG